GUGAAUCAUCGAAUUUUUGAACGCAAAUUGCACUCUCCUCGGAGCGUAUGCCUGUUUGAGGGUCAGCCUCUAAAAAAUCGACAUCGUUGCUGUUUCGCGGUGGCGUUCGUCGGACAUUGGGUUAUCUUCAAUCCUUUUGGGUUUUAAGCGACUUAAAUUUUUCUUUUUGUUUCCCUGACCUUUUCUAAUAUUUAUUUCUUUACACGUUUAAUGUAUCGCUUUUUAUUAGCCGUGACCUUCAUAUCGCCUCUCGUCCUUCAUCUUUCAUUCACUGAC
Molecule: unclassified non-coding RNA, 276 nt
Filed under: Glomus sp.
Lineage: Eukaryota; Fungi; Glomeromycota; Glomeromycetes; Glomerales; Glomeraceae
Description: partial contains 5.8S ribosomal RNA and internal transcribed spacer 2
Rfam family: 5.8S ribosomal RNA (bases 1-65)
Source: RNAcentral